AUUUAAAUAGUUUAUCAAAAUUUUGAUUUGUGGUGUCAAAGAUACUCUAAUAAGAGUUUUAGAUC
RNAcentral lists this transfer RNA (65 nucleotides) under Caenis robusta. RNAcentral describes it as "tRNA-His". The record is from RNAcentral. Lineage: Eukaryota; Metazoa; Arthropoda; Insecta; Ephemeroptera; Caenidae.